UACGGAGGGGGCUAGCGUUGUUCGGAAUUACUGGGCGUAAAGCGCGCGUAGGCGGACCUGCAAGUCGGGGGUGAAAGCCCGAGGCUCAACCUCGGAACUGCCUUCGAUACUGCGGGUCUCGAGUCCGGGAGAGGAUGGUGGAAUUCCCAGUGUAGAGGUGAAAUUCGUAGAUAUUGGGAAGAACACCGAUGGCGAAGGCAGCCAUCUGGACCGACACUGACGCUGAGGCGCGAAAGCGUGGGGAGCAAACAGG
Molecule: ribosomal RNA, 253 nt
Filed under: uncultured bacterium
Lineage: Bacteria
Description: partial 16S ribosomal RNA
Rfam family: Bacterial small subunit ribosomal RNA
Source: RNAcentral